GUGAGGAAUAUUGGUCAAUGGACGAGAGUCUGAACCAGCCAAGUCGCGUGAAGGAAGACGGUUCUAUGAAUUGUAAACUUCUUUUGUGCAGGAAUAAAGUGGAUUACGUGUAACCUUUUGUAUGUACUGUACGAAUAAGGAUCGGCUAACUCCGUGCCAGCAGCCGCGGUAAUACGGAGGAUCCGAGCGUUAUCCGGAUUUAUUGGGUUUAAAGGGUGCGUAGGUGGAUUGAUAAGUCAGCGGUGAAAGUUUGCAGCUUAACUGUAAAAUUGCAGUUGAAACUGUCGGUCUUGAGUGCAAAUGAGGUAGGCGGAAUGUGUUGUGUAGCGGUGAAAUGCUUAGAUAUAACACAGAACUCCGAUUGCGAAGGCAGCUUACUGGGAUGCAACUGACACUGAUGCACGAAAGCGUGGGUAUCAAACAGGAUUAGAUACCCUAGUAGUCC
RNAcentral lists this ribosomal RNA (445 nucleotides) under uncultured bacterium. RNAcentral's name for it is "partial 16S ribosomal RNA". It matches the Rfam family "Bacterial small subunit ribosomal RNA", at positions 354 to 796 of the family's 1533-position model. The record is from RNAcentral.